CCUACGGGGGACAGCAGUGGGGAAUAUUGGGCAAUGGGCGCAAGCCUGACCCAGCAACGCCGCGUGAAGGAAGAAGGCUUUCGGGUUGUAAACUUCUUUUAAGAGGGAAGAGCAGAAGACGGUACCUCUUGAAUAAGCCACGGCUAACUCCGUGCCAGCAGCCGCGGUAAUACGUAGGUGGCAAGCGUUGUCCGGAUUCACUGGGUGUAAAGGGCGUGUAGCCGGGCUGACAAGUCAGAUGUGAAAUUCCGGGGCUCAACCCCGGACCUGCAUUUGAAACUGUUGGUCUUGAGUAGCGGUGAGGCAGGUGGAAUGUCUAGUGUAGCGGGGAAAUGCGUAGAUAUUAGGAGGAACACCAGUGGCGAAGGCGGCCUGCUGGACGACAACUGACGGUGAGGCGCGAAAGCGUGGGGAGCAAACAGGAUUAGAUACCCGAGUAGUC
RNAcentral lists this ribosomal RNA (442 nucleotides) under uncultured bacterium. Its description in RNAcentral is "partial 16S ribosomal RNA". It matches the Rfam family "Bacterial small subunit ribosomal RNA", at positions 338 to 795 of the family's 1533-position model. The record is from RNAcentral.